GGAAAGUGAACUUGUUGCUGAAAUUGAUAGGUUGAAAGCUGAAGUUGAGAAGGCAGAAAAAAGUCUUGAUCAUGCUACUCCUGGCGAUGUAAGAAGGGGACUAAAUUCUGUUCGGAGGAUCUGUAAAGAGUACAAAAUUUCUGGGGUGCAUGGUCCAAUUAUUGAGUUGCUCGAUUGUGAUGAUAAAUUUUUUACUGCUGUUGAAGUUACGGCGGGAAACAGCUUAUUUCACGUGGUGGUGGAAAAUGAUGAAAUAUCAACCCAGAUCAUACGACACCUUAAUUCAUUGAAAGGCGGAAGGGUUACUUUUAUACCACUUAACAGGGUGAAAGCUCCGCAAAUUACUUAUCCACAGAGUUCUGAUGUGAUACCGUUGUUGAAGAAAUUAAAAUUCUCUCCCAAUUACGCACCAGCGUUUUCUCAGGUGUUUGCUAGAACGGUG
Molecule: unclassified non-coding RNA, 442 nt
Filed under: Hevea brasiliensis (rubber tree)
Lineage: Eukaryota; Viridiplantae; Streptophyta; Magnoliopsida; Malpighiales; Euphorbiaceae
Source: RNAcentral